AGAGUUUGAUCAUGGCUCAGAAUCAACGCUGGCGGCGUGCCUCAGACAUGCAAGUCGAACGCGAAAGUCCCCUUCGGGGGACAAGUAGAGUGGCGCACGGGUGAGUAACACGUAGGUAAUCUACCUUCGGGUGGGGAAUAACCCAGGGAAACUUGGGCUAACACCGCAUAAUGCAGCGGCACCACAUGGUGACAGUUGUUAAAGCGGGGGAUUUUAGGACCUCGCGCCUGAAGAGGAGCCUGCGGCAGAUUAGCUAGUUGGUAAGGUAACGGCUUACCAAGGCGACGAUCUGUAACCGGCCUGAGAGGGCGGUCGGUCACACUGACACUGACAUACGGGUCAGACUCCUACGGGAGGCAGCAGUCGGGAAUUUUGGGCAAUGGGCGAAAGCCUGACCCAGCAACGCCGCGUGAAGGAUGAAAUCCCUCGGGAUGUAAACUUCGCAAGAUUGGGAAGAAUUAGUAGGGGUUAAAUACCCCCUAUGAUGACGGUACCUUUUGUAAGCUCCGGCUAACUCCGUGCCAGCAGCCGCGGUAAUACGGGGGGAGCAAGCGUUGUUCGGAUUUACUGGGCGUAAAGGGCGCGUAGGCGGUCAGCACAAGUCAGUUGUGGAAUCUCCGGGCUUAACUCGGAAAGGUCAACUGAUACUGUGCGACUAGAGUGCAGAAGGGGCAACUGGAAUUCUCGGUGUAGCGGUGAAAUGCGUAGAUAUCGAGAGGAACACCUGCGGCGAAGGCGGGUUGCUGGGCUGACACUGACGCUGAGGCGCGAAAGCCAGGGGAGCGAACGGGAUUAGAUACCCCGGUAGUCCUGGCCUUAAACGAU
Molecule: ribosomal RNA, 825 nt
Filed under: uncultured bacterium
Lineage: Bacteria
Description: bacterial SSU rRNA
Rfam family: Bacterial small subunit ribosomal RNA
Source: RNAcentral